RNAcentral lists this ribosomal RNA (1566 nucleotides) under Myotis albescens. Its description in RNAcentral is "16S ribosomal RNA". It matches the Rfam family "Bacterial large subunit ribosomal RNA". The record is from RNAcentral. Lineage: Eukaryota; Metazoa; Chordata; Mammalia; Chiroptera; Vespertilionidae.
AAACUAAACAUAGCUCAAAAUCUACCAUAUACUAUUACUUUAACAAUAUUAAAACAAAACAUUUACAAUAAUAAAAGUAUAGGCGAUAGAAAUUCUAUAUGAAGCUAUAGAGAAAGUACCGUAAGGGAAAAAUGAAAGAAAGUUAUAAGUACAACACAGCAAAGCUUAACCCUUGUACCUUUUGCAUAAUGAUUUAACUAGAAAGCAUUAGCAAAAAGAAUUUAAGUUAAACACCCCGAAACUAGACGAGCUACCUACUAGCAGCUUAAAGAGCAAACUCAUCUAUGUAGCAAAAUAGUGAAAAGACUAUUAGGUAGUGGCGACAAACCUAUCGAGCCUAGUGAUAGCUGGUUGUCCAGGAAAGAAUUUUAGUUCUAAUUUAAACUUGCCUAUAAAAAAACAAAUUUAAAUGUAAGCUUAAAUAAUAGUCUAAAAGGGUACAGCCUUUCAGACACAGGAUACAACCUAUGUUAGUGAAAAAACUAAAAUAUUUAAACCACCUCAGUUGGCCUAAAAGCAGCCACCAAACAAGAUAGCGUUCAAGCUCGACCACAUAAACAUAAACCAAUAUCAAUUAUAAAAAUGAAAUUCCUAACACAAAACUGGACCAUUCUAUUUAAAAAUAGAAGUAAUAAUGUUAAUAUGAGUAACAAGAAAACCUUUCUCCCUGCAUAGGUGUAUAUCAGAACGAAUACGCACUGAUAAUUAACAAAUAUGAGUAUAAUUAAUUAACUAACACUCUGAUACAAUUGUUAAUCCAACACAGGCAUGCAAUCAAGGACAGAUUAAAAGAAGUAAAAGGAACUCGGCAAACAUGAACUCCGCCUGUUUACCAAAAACAUCACCUCUAGCAUAAAAAGUAUUAGAGGCACUGCCUGCCCAGUGACUUUAGUUUAACGGCCGCGGUAUCCUGACCGUGCAAAGGUAGCAUAAUCACUUGUUCUCUAACUAAGGACUUGUAUGAAUGGCUUCACGAGAGUUCUACUGUCUCUUACUUCCAAUCAGUGAAAUUGAUCUUCCCGUGAAGAAGCGGGAAUAAAAAAAUAAGACGAGAAGACCCUAUGGAGCUUUAAUUAAUCAACUCAUAAACUGCAACAACACUCUACAAGAAAUAAACCUAUUUUAACUGAGUUGGCAAUUUAGGUUGGGGUGACCUCGGAAUAUAAAUUAACUCCCGAGAAAAUUUAAUUAAGACAGACAAGUCAAAAUUAUCAUAUUACAUAUUGAUCCGUCAAAGACGAUCAACGAAACAAGUUACCCUAGGGAUAACAGCGCAAUCCUAUUCAAGAGUCCAUAUCGACAAUUAGGGUUUACGACCUCGAUGUUGGAUCAGGACAUCCAAAUGGUGCAGCCGCUAUUAAUGUGUUCGUUUGUUCAACGAUUAAAGUCCUACGUGAUCUGAGUUCAGACCGGAGCAAUCCAGGUCGGUUUCUAUCUAUUUCAAAGUCUCUCCCAGUACGAAAGGACAAGAGAGACAGGGCCCACUUAAAAUAAGUGCCCCAGCUAAUUAGAUGAAAUAAUCUCAAUCUUACAUAAAUACUAAUUUUAGCCCAAGAACAGGGCUUA